UGAGUGGGUGAUCACUGGCUUUGUAGA
Molecule: non-coding RNA, 27 nt
Filed under: Homo sapiens (human)
Lineage: Eukaryota; Metazoa; Chordata; Mammalia; Primates; Hominidae
Source: RNAcentral